This 497-nucleotide ribosomal RNA is filed under the name uncultured bacterium. RNAcentral's name for it is "partial 16S ribosomal RNA". It matches the Rfam family "Bacterial small subunit ribosomal RNA", at positions 28 to 507 of the family's 1533-position model. The record is from RNAcentral.
GAUGAACGCUGGCGGCGUGCCUAAUACAUGCAAGUCGAGCGAACAGACGAGGAGCUUGCUCCUCUGACGUUAGCGGCGGACGGGUGAGUAACACGUGGAUAACCUACCUAUAAGACUGGGAUAACUUCGGGAAACCGGAGCUAAUACCGGAUAAUAUAUUGAACCGCAUGGUUCAAUAGUGUAAGACGGUUUUGCUGUCACUUAUAGAUGGAUCCGCGCCGCAUUAGCUAGUUGGUAAGGUAACGGCUUACCAAGGCAACGAUGCGUAGCCGACCUGAGAGGGUGAUCGGCCACACUGGAACUGAGACACGGUCCAGACUCCUACGGGAGGCAGCAGUAGGGAAUCUUCCGCAAAGGGCGAAAGCCUGACGGAGCAACGCCGCGUGAGUGAUGAAGGUCUUCGGAUCGUAAAACUCUGUUAUUAGGGAAGAACAAAUGUGUAAGUAACUAUGCACGUCUUGACGGUACCUAAUCAGAAAGCCACGGCUAACUACGUG